RNAcentral lists this long non-coding RNA (5780 nucleotides) under Gallus gallus (chicken). Its description in RNAcentral is "lncRNA (ENSGALG00010026311.1)". The record is from RNAcentral. Lineage: Eukaryota; Metazoa; Chordata; Aves; Galliformes; Phasianidae.
GGUUCUGGGGGGCUCUCAGGACAAAUCCUCAACUCCAAAGUAUGACAGUGUGGGCAAAUGUGCACAUGCCCUCACACAUGUGUACAGUGAGCUUCCUGACUGGCCGUGCCUCACCUCCCCAAACACUGCAGGUGUGGGACGAGCAGAGCUCACAGUACCAUGUUCUGCCCAGAGAAGUGUGGGUGCCCCAUUGCUGGAGGUGCCCGAGGUCGGAUGUGCCCUGGGCCUGAGCUGGUGUCUGAUCAGCAGUUGGCAACCCUGCCCACAGCAGGAGGUGGGAAUUAGAUGGUCUGUGAGGUCUCUUCCAACCCAACCAUACUAUGACUGUGAUCAAAGACUUUCUUACCUGUCUACAGCAACAUAGCCUCCAAACACUGCCAUCAUUUAGGAACAAAGCUGAAGCUCGACUGUAGCAAAGCAUUAAAAUCUCCCUGAAUUUGACCCACCACCACGCUGACCAUUGGCAAAAACACCUUCAGUCUACGGAUCACUGAGACAGCAGUGACUGAACAGGAGAUACAGUGCACACAUUGCCCAUCCACUGAUACAUGGCAUCCAGCAACCCUCACCAGCACUUACCAGUUUUGCUGGUGUGUCCAUACUGUUGAAACUCUCCACUGCAGCAAAAUUGAAGGCUGGAAUCUAUAAAUCAGGCAAGCAAAAUCAGCCUCGUUUACCCAGCACUUCCACGCUGGUAUAACUGGAAGGGAUCGCGCAGUGAAGCGCUGCCAUUACAAUAAAACAAAUAAACAAACCUUUCUGCGCCAACCAAACUUUAAAGUGUGAAUCUGCAAACCAGAGACAGAUUAUUGCCUGCGAAAAGCUCCCAUCUCUGGGGUGAAACAGAACCAGCUUGACACAGAAGGCGCCUUGGCUGAGGUUAGCAAACAAAAGUACUGUAAGCAGAUGGCGAUGGGAGAAGAUGACAGAGAAAUAGAGAGCUCUUAGCGUGAUGUUUUGGCCACUGUUCCUCCAGGACUCGUGUAUUUGGUCUCUCUGAGUUACGGGAGGUGUGCAUUAGGUGGCCGGCAGCCAAGCCAGACACAGGAGUCUCCCUGUUUGCAUCAUUCCACAAAACACCUGUUAAGAUGUAAGAGAACGAGGUUCACUUCAGAUGGGACCAGGAGCCCACCUAACACAGCAUCUAUCUCUGAUGGGUGCAGGCAAAGAGCGAGGCAGAGUGCUGCUGUUCUACAGCACAGCCUUUUGCUCCCAGCAGGGAAAGGACUGCCCUGCAGCCCCUCUUCUCCCCACAGCCUGCCCUGAGCUGCCCGGCCUCAGCGUGAGGGCAAACCUCUCCUUCUGGACAGGGCUGAGUCCUCCCCAGGCACCCAAAUCUUUCUGAUGCAAAGCAAAGGCGAGUUCAACAGUCAGAGCACGUAAUACCUUGCUCCUUGGUUCAUGGUAUCCAUUUGCACAAUGCCUAAUUACAACCCCUGGAUAUUGAAAUAGGAAUUAAGCAGGGCCAAAAUCUGAAGACUGCGGAGAGCUGGAUUUCAGAGCACUAAUGCUGAGGUUCCUAUUUUGAGUCCGGUCAGAUUUAGGGCUGUCAAUCAAAGGGUCACAUUUGCCUUCAAAGGCUGCGGUGCCACGAGGAAUUUCCUGGUGCUAAGCAUCCCAGCUUAGCUGCUGUUCUGUGGCAGGAGGGAGCUGGAAGGAGGAAGCCAGGGGACCAAUCACCUCCAUCUAUCAAAUACCCAAAGCUCAGUGCUCCUGUGUGGGGGAUAUAAAAAAGUAUUGGCCCUAAUCUCAUUUUCAAAGCGAUGGUGUUGUUUUAACUUUGUCCCCCUGGAGAGGGUAUGUGACAAAGCAGAACCUCAUCUCUUGUAAAGCCACGAAUGCUGUGCCUGCAGCUUGAAAAGCAAACCCACUGCCUCCCCUGCAGAUAACAUGGGCCUUGUACCAGGCUCACGAGCCCUUUCCAAAGGCCAGCCGUAAAUGGAAAGCAUGGCAAAGGCCCCCAGUUGUGAGGGGAGGGAGCUGCUCCCCUUCUGCCAAGGCGCAGUGAACCACACCAAACCUCUGCCUGCUGAAAGGACUCAGGGGCUGUGGUGUUGGGGACUGCACAGCUUCAGCUCUGCCCACCCCAAAGCUAGAUGCAGGGCUGGAGAUCUGGCAGGCAACUUCCACUGGGAUUUGUGAACUUCACAGGCAAGGCCCAGAGAUACAAGUGGGGCGUUCUUUACGCUCACCCCAUUGACACACGUCUUGUGGGGAAGGGGCAGCACAGCAGGGGAGGGCAGGAGGAGCUCCAUGGCGGUCUCCGACAUUUACAUCUUUCUGCCUGGACAUUUGGCGAGGCCAAAAGCUGCGGUGGGCAGCAGCGUGCUGGGCUGGGGUCAUCACAGCUCCACUCAGAGAGCAGCAAGGGCUCAUCUGCAAUGGUAGCUGCUGGGGGAUAUCCUGAUGGGGAAAGGGUUUCUGUGUGGUAUGGCAAUCUAUAUCUACAGGGAUACAAUAACCACAAAACGCACCGGGGACUCACCCAGCUGGCGGAACCGUGGCCGUCUCCUGCAAUUACACCUGACAUACGAGAGAUGGGAUGCCAGCUAGCACCUGCCCUGUGUUUAUACAACACUGCACCGCGACAGCUGCUCUAUGCUCCACGCAUCCCAGACUGCUUGCAAGGUAAAUAGAUCAAGUACAGGAUAACCUGAAAUUGCAGGCAGCUGAGGGCGAGCCCUUGGUGCUAUUGCCAUCUCUGAGCAGGAGGGGUACAAGGCAGGGACCUUUGUCAGCAUUGGCAAGGUUCUCUAAGAGAGAGCUACCAAAAUGCUGAUAUCUGUGUGUAUUUUCUUCUCAAGAAGCCACAUCUCUUCCUUCUUCUCUUCAAGUCAGUGCUGUUUGCAAAAGUUGAGUGAAACCCUGAAAGCAUACUGGAAUAAACUGAGAAACAGACCUCCAACGACAGCUCUGCUGGAAGCACUGAUUGUGAGAGACGGUGGUGCCUCUAAAAGCUGAGCAAAGCCAGAUUGCAGUGCUGCUGAGCAGUGCAGGCAUACACGGCUCCACCCGUAGCCUCCUUACAGAGCAGGAGCUGGGUGCUGGGGCAGGGUGGCAGGGCACAGGCACUGUCCCUUGCCAUGCAGGAGGUGAGGAGUGCUUUACGCCAUCCUCCUUAAAAGAGCAAGCAGGAGAGGAGCUCAUGCAACCCCAAGCAAAAGCUCGCAGACUUUCCCCCUGCUAUUUUUAAUUGCUGUUUGAAUGAUUAGUUUCCUUCCCAUCCUCCUCUGCACCCUGAGUCAAGUGAAAGGAAACUGCUCCAAACCCCAGUGCUUCCCCAGGCUUCAAACCAUCACUGGCUUUAUGUAGAGCAGACGGAUCUGAGGAAGCGAAGGGCAAUGGAGAGAAAUUACAUAAUCACAGAAUCACUGAGGUUGGAAAAGACCUCUAAGACCCCCAGGUCCGACCCCAGCCCACCAUCUCCACUGACCACAUCCCUCAGUGCUGCAUCCCCACAGCAGACGGGCUCUGAGCAGGCCUGAUUCCACCAGGCACGCCGAGCUGCUGCACACAGCGCUUAGGCUACGUGAAGCCCUGUUAAAUGCAGUGCUGCUGAGCUCAGUGAAACACUGUGUAGCACAGUACUCACAAGUACAGCUGCCAGAAUGCAUCCUGCUGGGAGGUGUGACAUACACCCCAUGGAUUUCCAUGGGACCGCAGAAAACUUGAAGCCAGAGCUGAGCUGUGAGGAUUUCAAGACGGACAGCUGAUUUCAGCGCAUAGCUUCAGUGCGGCUUCAGGGACAGAUUUCAUCAAGAGACAGUGGGAGGAACUGAAAGACAGAAAUCAGCAGCAAAGCACUUCCACGAACAGCAAACCCACAGGUGCCUACGGCCAUGCACCAUGUGUGUGCCCGGGUCCCCUGCUCCCUGACAAAGGCUGUGCUAGCACUGCUGCUCACCACUAAUGGAACCUCUUCCCUCGCCUCUUUUCACAAACCCGUAAGAGUUCAAUGCAUUACUCUGCCUUUGUGUCCCAUGUGGCUGAAACUGCCCCAGCAGGUUCCAGUCACUUGGGGGUGAAGGGAGCAGGGAGCUCUGGAGGUAGCACACACACACACACACGUGCAUGCAUGGCACGGUGCAGCUGCACUCGGCUCAUUUCUUUAGGUGCUUGGGCUAGGAAAGAGCAAGCAGGGGCUGCACAGCACCGAACCCAUCUGCUCGGAGCAGCUCCUGGGCACACGAAUGGCUGAGCCCCAGCAGGAGCAUGGCAACACGCCAGCGGCUCCCACAUCAAAGCUCCGCUCAGCCACCAGAUUGCCUGUUGGCUUUUACGACACCGCUAUUGCUUGCGUGGUGAAUUCCAGACUGGGGAUGUAACGACAGACGGGCCGGGAUCGCCUCGCCAACGGUAAAGUUCAGGUACAGUGUGUAGCCAAUAAAGAACGGACGCCUCGGGUUCCAUUCUGAGAUGGCCGCUCUCAGUUCCAGGAAUCUGCUCAGCACACAUUCAAGGCACAACGACAGCGUUUGUCACCUGUGGGGACAAGGCUGUAAGGAAGAAAGAACAAGGGAAGGGGAAACAUAAAGAAACAUCUUAAGAGGGGAAAGGAAAAGUACAGCAGCAAGGAACUGUGCAGGAGAGCAGCAGGAGGGCGGGCUGUGGCUGCAUCUGCCGGCUGCCUGCCACGUGGCUGCAGGAAAGUCGUGGCCUUUCUCCACCUCGCUUUUCCAGUCUGUGGAAUUAUUUAGAUAACAGUAUUUGCAAACUAAAGAACAAAAGUACUAUAUAUAAAACAAGCCUACUUAAGCCCAAGUGGCUUCUGUUUGCUGUAUUUAGAAAAGGGCCCAGUUCUCUCUGUGUCUUUCAUAAACAAAACACAGCCAAUCAUCUCCAGCCAAAAUUAAAGACUUGUUUUCUCUGACAACAGCUCUGACAUGUCUAAAGCCCCACAGCGACCCUAAGGUGUAAAGUAACCUGUCAGUCCUUGUAGUGUUACACCACUGAAGGGCACAGCAAAGGAGAUAACAGCCUUCAGAUACUACAGAGAGCCCAGAAUUGCCCCAUAGCAACAAGCAGGUGGUGAGCGAGCCUGAGUAGCUGGGACUGCUGCCACAUCUGUUAGAAAAUGACCUCAUGGGCUGACAUCACCUGAGAUUUCCAGGCCAGCCUUGGUCCCUUUGAGAUCUGGGGACAGCUUUGCAUGGCCUGCCAGCACCCUGGGAUUGCUGACAUGGGUGGACACAGCAAGCAGAAGUAAACCCACCUCUCCUGACCACCCUCCCCCCGUGCUGCACCGAGCCCAGGAGCUGCCGCACCUUUGCCAGCUCGCUCAGCUCCACAUAUAGCCCUACAGAGGUGGCAAUGUCCAGCUGUGCACAUCUGUGCCUUGGCACAGGGAGGACACGCACAGCCUCCUCUUCCUAAGACAGGCUGGGAAUUCCUUGGAACUGCUGGGGCACCGAUCCAGCCAAGACCAGCACCGUUUGCACUGACACAGCCUCCAAAAAGCUGCAAAUACACCUUGCUUUGCUGGAGUGACAGGCUGGGGAAGGGAGCAGGAAAUAAGGGGAAUGCCCGAAGGCAGACAGAAGUGAGUACGUGCUUAAUCAGCUUAGACUAAAUAAAUCAAUAGGCUCUAAAACAAAGGGGUCCCCAUGCAGAAGACAAACCUGCUGGAAGGACUGAAUGUGUAACCAGCACACGAGCAGCUCUCUGUAAGGUAUAAUGUGAACCAACCUGAAGCAGCCCCAGACGGAUGCACCAUCUGCUCACAGCGCCUCACAAGGACGCCGUGCUCGGUGCUAUCAAAACCAGCAGACACUCCAAGGAGC